UGGAUUCAGAAGGCAUGAGGUAUCAUGUUAAGACUGUGAAAGUACUAUUUACUCUACAAUGGUGAGGAGUCCUCAUCAAAAUCAAAAAAUCUAAUUUCUUUUACAGGACCCAGAUGCUAUACAGUGGGAAAACCAGCCUGGCAACAUAGUGCGUAUUAAUAAAAGGACACCACAUCCUGCCAAAUUCCAGCUGCGCUAAUUGUAUUGUGUUCACAGAGCUCACAAGCUAUCAGAAAGUUGUAUGGCAACCACCUCCGGCGCCAAAUAGAACUGUCAGACAUAGACAUUCAGUACAAGAAGAAAAAGAUGGAAAAUCUUGCACUGGAGUCCGAAAUAAAAAAGAGGACAAUUAGGAAACUGGACCUUGAAAUAAAAAAACUUGAGGGAGCUCCAAGAAGAUGACACAGCUCAAAAUAAAAAUUAGCAAUCAGUACAACCAAGUCAUCGUUAUAAGGCAUCGCCCUCUUUUGCCCACCCCCCCAGCACCAGGUGUGGCCACUAGCCUAUAUGAAGGCCCAAAAUUGUGUGUUCCUUUCUGCUCUGACAAUGGCAUGCCCAUUCGUGCGAGAUGUGGUGGAUGAAGAAGCACUUGUGCUGAGGAGAGCCUUCAGGCGAGAAAGGGUCUUCAGGGACCGGUUGGACCCACUGGCCUUCCCUGAUGACCAUCUAUAUGAAAGAUACAGGUUUUCUGCAGAUGGCAUCAGGUAUCUAUGCAGACUACUGGGUCCCAGGAUUAAGCACUGCACGGAGCCAUGCACUGAGUGUGGAGCAAAUGGUGUGUGGCCUUGCGCUUUUUUGCUAGUGGAGCCUUCCUGUACUCAGUGGGGGAUGCAGAACAGCUGAACAAGGCCACAAUUUGCCGCACAAUAAGGAGUGUGUGUCUGGCUAUCAAAGCAUUAGCAGAUGUCUUCAUCUCCUUCCCUGGCCACAGAAGACUCUGUGACAUCAAAGAGGAGUUCUAUAGGAUUGCAGGUUUCCCCAAUGUCAUUGGUGCAGUGGACUGCACACACAUAAGGAUAAAAGCCCCCUCAGGUGCCCAUGAGGCCGAUUUUGUGAAUAGGAAAUCCUUUCACAGCAUUAAUGUUCAGAUGGUCUGCAAUGCUGACUGUGUGAUCAGCAAUGUUGUGGCAAAAUGGCCUGGCUCAGUCCAUGACUCCAGAAUCUUUCGGGCCUCUGAAAUCUAUCACAAGGUGAAUUCUCUGGUGUGUUGCUGGGAGACAGGGGGUAUGGCUGCCAGCCUUUUCUCCUGACACCUUUCACAGACCCCCAGGAAGCACAGCAGGCCUACAACCAUGCCAGGACCAGGGCCAGAGUUGAAAUGACCUUUGGCCUCCUGAAGGCACGCUUUCACUGCCUUCACAAAUUAAGGGUCAGCCCUGUUAGGGCAUGUGAUAUUACUGUGGCUUGUGCUGUCCUCCACAAUGUGGCCUGCCUGAGGAAGGAGAGGGCCCCCAGAGUGCCACCAGCCAUGGACUGGGACAAUCCGGCAAUCUUCCUGAUGACGACAGUGGUCGGCUGCUGAGGGACCAAUAUGUGUUGAAUUAUUUUAGUUAGUAUGUGUGCUUUCAAUUUUGGUUAAAUAUGUCCUGCGGUGGCAGAGGAAUUUGGUU
Molecule: long non-coding RNA, 1610 nt
Organism: Oncorhynchus nerka (sockeye salmon)
Lineage: Eukaryota; Metazoa; Chordata; Actinopteri; Salmoniformes; Salmonidae
Exons: 6
Source: RefSeq, a predicted model, not a curated record